RNAcentral lists this long non-coding RNA (390 nucleotides) under Zostera marina. RNAcentral describes it as "long non-coding RNA (ZMAR_LNC001281)". The record is from RNAcentral. Lineage: Eukaryota; Viridiplantae; Streptophyta; Magnoliopsida; Alismatales; Zosteraceae.
GACGAGUUGUGGUCCUGAAGAGCUGUGGAGAAUGGAAACAAACAAAAAAAGAAUAGAUGGAAACCGAGGAGAAGCAAAGAGAUCGAAGAAGGAGAUAACGAAAUUUUAAAAUCCCUAUCACAUGUGAUACACCGUUGAUGGUGUACCGAAGCUUCUCCGGAAUAUUGGCCAGAGAAGAUAUGUUCUAAUUCAGUAAUCACUAAUUCGUUGUGUCCAUGAUGUGUCUGUGGCAUCGCUCUACCUUACCCAUCUGUUUUCGAAUUUUCCAGAUCGAAUAGAUAUACAACCUCAAAAUAACUGUGAAUCUUAACAUCCAAUUAAGGCAGGUAAAGUGGGUAAUAAGACCAUGAAUCAUGCACUCUUUGUAAAAUGGGUUCUUCCAUAUAUCAU